This 751-nucleotide long non-coding RNA is filed under the name Ananas comosus (pineapple). RNAcentral describes it as "long non-coding RNA (ACOM_LNC028572)". Lineage: Eukaryota; Viridiplantae; Streptophyta; Magnoliopsida; Poales; Bromeliaceae. The record is from RNAcentral.
UAGAUCGUAACAUACAACUAGCGGCGUAUGCAGAGUGAUAAAGCCUGUUCGGCAGUUGGUAUCUGAAUUGUCAAGUUUAGAGCCUAAGUUGUUUCAACGUUUUUAGUAAAGUUUAUUUCUGAAAAAUGAAUAAAGCGCAUAGCUUACUACCUUCAUACUUAGUUAAUUCGUGAAUUAUUCGUAAAUUAUUAAAAAUCCGAAUAAAACUGUCCGAAUACGAUUUGUUUCCAAAAAAUCGGAAUAAUACGUGAAUUUUUGGGUUAAAUUUAUUAUUCGAGAAUAAUUCGCAUAUGCCGAACUAUUCGGCAAAAAAAAGUGCAAAUUUUUUGGAUAAAAUUUCUUUUCGAAUUAUUGUUGAAUUAUUGAAAAACUUAAUGAACUUCCGAAAUAUGUGGAUCAUGGAAAGAUGAAGAUAGAGACGACAAUAAAAUUUGCUAUUAUACUUUUUUUACUUAAUCUGAAUUAUUUUGUAGUUUUUUUAUAUUUUUAAGAAUUUAUAACUAUGUAUGCUAGUAACAUAAAUCUAGAGAAAAAAGAUUAGUUUAAUAGCCGAAUUUUUGAUCCCAAAUUAUUAAUUGGUGAACGUAUAAUAUCAAUAUGAAUCGCGUAUCUGAAUAAUUGGCAAAUCCCUUUUUUUAAGCUGUAUUUUUCAACGAAUUUAAAAAUUGAGAUGCGAAUUUUAUUCGAAUUAUACCCGUACCGAAUUUUCGCCGAAUCCGAAUUAACUAACUAUGAAUACCUUUCUCUUAAU